Molecule: non-coding RNA, 257 nt
Organism: Pelobates cultripes (western spadefoot toad)
Lineage: Eukaryota; Metazoa; Chordata; Amphibia; Anura; Pelobatidae
Source: the annotation of a GenBank genome assembly
GUUCAAGCUUAGUUUUACUGCUGAGGCCUGCUAAUUUUAUCACAAACUAGCCACAGAAAUCACCACAGAUUACUUUUUUUUCAGGGGGUUCUUCAGAAAUUCUUUGUACAGUUAUUGGCCUCUUUGUCAGCAAGAAUGAUAAAGGGAGUGGGAUAUAUCUUUCAUUAUAUUUGGACUGUAGAUUUUAUUGUAUUAUACUAUCAGGAAACCUGAAUGAAUAAAACCCCUUCUAGAUUUUGCUGUCUUGUGGAUAACAG